UACAAAGGUAAGCUCAAAUUGGAUUAUAUUAUCAAUUGUAGAGCGUAAUGGUAUAAGCUUGCUUGACUGUAAGAUAGACAUAUCAAACAGGGACGAAAGUCGGUCAUAGU
Molecule: ribosomal RNA, 110 nt
Filed under: Globisporangium iwayamae DAOM BR242034
Lineage: Eukaryota; Oomycota; Peronosporomycetes; Pythiales; Pythiaceae
Description: pseudoknot of the domain G(G12) of 23S ribosomal RNA
Rfam family: Bacterial large subunit ribosomal RNA
Source: RNAcentral